Molecule: long non-coding RNA, 2616 nt
Organism: Anolis carolinensis (green anole)
Lineage: Eukaryota; Metazoa; Chordata; Lepidosauria; Squamata; Anolidae
Exons: 2
Source: RefSeq, a predicted model, not a curated record
CCCCCAAUACACACCAGAGAAGGGAAACCUGGAGAGAUCCCUCCCAAGCCUCAUCCUUCCCCCUUCUUUGGAUUUCCCUUUUUUAGAGAGACAGAAAGGAAUAAUUCUUAAAGAGCCACGGUGAGCUUUUUCCAUCAAGCCAUCCCUCUCUUCCUCUGCACAAGGAAAGGCAACCUCCCUCCCCCUGCAAGGGGCACAUCAUCAGCACCCUCCACUGGAGCAACGCCGUGGGUCCUGAAGGUCAAGGAUGGGUGCAAUGAGGGCGCCCCCUAGUGCACCCCACUCCCUCUCAUUUGAGGAUGCGCUCACACUUCCAGGGGAAUAAUAGAACAAAAUAAAAUGCUGAUGUUGGUGAGCCAGUGAUGGAUGCUAAUUACCAGGGGUUUAAUUGCUCCUCUUUACACCAUUAGCAAUGAACCACUCAGCUUCUGGGAUAGGGAGAAGAUCAUUAAUAUGAGCAAUUCCCAAGGAGGGAGACUGAGCAGACGGGGAGGGGGUCCGUCUGCCUCUCUCCCUCUUCUCUCGGCUUCAUUGACUCCUAUCUACCUAUAGCAUUUGGGAAGCCCAUUUCAUACCUUGCUGCUCUUUAAACAGUGAUGCCAACUUAACAGCUCUACUCCCCUAUACCUGUCAUCCUUGCUGGAUGCCUUCAAGUUAUUUCUGACUUAUGGUGACUCUAAGGCUUGCCUGUCUUAGGGUUUCAUAGCAGAAUUCAUUAAGAUGGGGUUUGUAUUUGCCUUCCUCUAGGGCUGAGAGAGGAGGUUUCUGUGUCUAAUCCACAGGGUUCAAAUCCACACACAAAUACACAUGCACAGCAAGGAUCUUCAGCUUGUAUAGCAGGGUUAUAAAGGUAAAGGUAAAGGUUUCCCCUGACGUUAAGUCCAGUCAUGUCUAUGCGGGUUGGUGCUCAUCUCCAUUUCUAAGCCGAAGAGCCAGCGUUGUCCGUAGACACCUCCAAGGCCAUGUGGCCGGCAUGACUGCAUGGAGCACCGUUACUUUCCUGCCGGAGUGGUACCUAUUGAUCUACUCACAUUGGCAUGUUUUCGAACUGCUAGGUUGGCAGGAGCUGGAGCUAACAGCGGGCGCUCAAGCCUCUCCCGGGAUUUGAACCUGGGACCUUUUGGUCUGCAAGUUCAGCAGCUCAACGCUUUAACGCAUUUCGCCACCAGGGCUCCAAAGGGUUAUAGCACUGGCUAAAUGGGGACUAUUGAGAUCCCUUGCAUGACAUCUCCCUGGACAGUGGUGCUGGUGUAUGUCGUGUUGACAUUGGUCAAACUGCCCCACAGUUUAGUUUCAACUUUCUAAGAGCUGAUGAAGAAACAUGACCUACAAACUAUCUAUAGACCCACUAAGAAAAUCCAACAAGUUCUACAUUCAGGAAAGGACAAGAGGGAUCCUCUCACCUCUGCAGGAGUUUACCAUAUACCUUGCAGCUGUGGACAAGUCUACAUAGGGACCACCAAACACGAAUCAAGGAACAUGAAAGGCAUUGCAGAAUAAUUCAACCAGAGAAGUCAGCUAUAGCAGAGCACUUGAUGAACCAACCUGGACAUGGCAUAUUAUUUGAGAACACAGAAAUGCUGGACCACUCUAACAACCACCAUGUCAGACUACAUAGAGAGGCCAUUGAAAUCCACAAUUAGGUGGACAAUUUCAACAGAAAGGAGAAAACCAUGAAAAUGAACAAAAUUUGGCUACCAGUAUUUACCAAACCUCUAAAAUCAGGACAGUAAAUAAAGAACAACACUCAAAAACAGACAUAAAACAAUCAGGGCCAGCUAAUCACCUCCCAACAAAGGAUUCCCCCAGCCAGAGGUAGCCAAGCUUUGAAGCUGCAGUUGUAAUCUUUAAUAUCACCCUCCCCCAUUUUAUAAGUUUUAGUGUUUUAACGCGAUCGGUUCCUUGUCCUCCCCACUCAUGUCUAUUUUACUCAUGGACUUUACUCAGAGUUUUGCACUAAUCACCCUCUAUAUAUAGCAAUUAUAUGUAUGUACACAGCAAUCAUAAUGCUGGGAAAAAUGGAAAGAAAAAGGAAGAGAGACUGACCAAGGGCAAGAUGGAUGGAUGGUAUCCUUGAAGGGACUGGCUUGACCUUGAAGGAACUGGGGGAGGCGACGGCCGACAGGGAGCUCUUGUCGGGCUGUGGCGCAGCUGGCUAGCCCGGGUCGGGUUAAGCCCCCGACCAUUAAAUAGCCCGGCUUGCUGUUGACCUAUGCAGCCCCGAAAGAAAGUUGCAUCUGUCAAUUAGGGAAAUUUAGGUACGCUUUAUGCGGGAGGCUAAUUUAACUAAUUUACAACAUCAUAAAACUGCCAGCAAAACACGAGGAAAGGAAUGAAGAAGUACAGCCACUAGUGGACAGUGAAGCAACGGCUCCCCCUGUGGCCAGAAUCGUGAAGCUGGAAAAAAAUGUUAAAUGCCUCUGUGUCUGUCUAUAUAUGUUGUUUGUCUGUUGGCAUUGAAUGUUUGCCAUAUAUAUGUUCAUUGUAAUCCGCCCUGAGUCCCCUUCGGGGUGAGAAGGGCAGAAUAUAAAUACUGUAAAUAAAUAAAUUGUGUGGGCUGGUCCCUGAGGUCAUGAAGAGUCAAAAACGACUGAACAAAUAAACAACAAAAACAUA